CUCGCUGUAGUUCAAUGGAUAGAAUAAGAGUUUCCGAAGCUCUUGAUGUGGGUUCAAUUCCCGCCGGCGAGG
Molecule: transfer RNA, 72 nt
Filed under: Basilea psittacipulmonis DSM 24701
Lineage: Bacteria; Pseudomonadati; Pseudomonadota; Betaproteobacteria; Burkholderiales; Alcaligenaceae
Rfam family: tRNA
About the family: Transfer RNA (tRNA) molecules are approximately 80 nucleotides in length. Their secondary structure includes four short double-helical elements and three loops (D, anti-codon, and T loops).
Source: Rfam by way of RNAcentral